UAGGCUGCAACUCGCCUACACGAAGUUGGAAUUGCUAGUAAUCGUGGAUCAGCAUGCCACGGUGAAUACGUUCCCGGGUCUUGUACACACCGCCCGUCACACCAUGGGAGCUGGUAACACCCGAAGUCAGUAGUCUAACCGCAAGGAGGACGCUGCCGAAGGUGGGAUUAGCGACUGGGGUGAAGUCGUAACAAGGUAGC
RNAcentral lists this ribosomal RNA (200 nucleotides) under uncultured bacterium. Its description in RNAcentral is "partial 16S ribosomal RNA". It matches the Rfam family "Bacterial small subunit ribosomal RNA", at positions 1301 to 1500 of the family's 1533-position model. The record is from RNAcentral.